GAUGAACGCUGGCGGCGCGCCUAACACAUGCAAGUCGAACGAUUAAAGCACCUUCGGGUGUGUAUAAAGUGGCGAACGUCUGAGUAACACGUGGGCAACCUGCCCCUCUCAUUGGGAUAGCCACGGGAAACCGUGGAUAAUACCGAAUACUUCGGUACUUCCGCAUGGAAGAUACGAGAAAGCUCCGGCGGUGAGGGAUGGGCCCGCGGCCUGUUAGCUUGUUGGUGGGGUAAUGGCCUACCAAGGGAAUGAUGGGUAGCGGGGUCGAGAGGCCGACCAGCCAGAUUGGGACUGAGGAAAGGCCCCGACUCCUACGGGGGGCAGCAGUGGGGAAUCAUGCACAAUGGGCGAAAGACUGAGGCAGCGACGCCGCGUGCGGGAUGAAGGCCUUCGGGUUGUGAACCGCUUUCAGCAGGGACGAGGCGAAAGUGACGGUACCUGCAGAAGAAGCCCCGGCUAACUACGUG
RNAcentral lists this ribosomal RNA (467 nucleotides) under uncultured bacterium. RNAcentral describes it as "partial 16S ribosomal RNA". It matches the Rfam family "Bacterial small subunit ribosomal RNA", at positions 28 to 507 of the family's 1533-position model. The record is from RNAcentral.